UGGGGAAUAUUGCACAAUGGACGGAAGUUUGAUGCAGCGACGCCGCGUGGAGGGUGUAGGCCUUCGGGUUGUGAACUCCUUUUUCUUGCGAAAAAGGCACAGUUUUGGCUGUGUUGAUGGUAGUGGGGGAAGAAGCGCCGGCUAACUACGUGCCAGCAGCCGCGGUAAUACGUAGGGCGCGAGCGUUGUCCGGCUUUCUUGGGGGUAAAGAGCUCGUAGGUGGUUCGUCGCGUCUGUCGUGAAAGCCAGCAGCUUAACUGUUGGGCUGGGGUGGGUACGGGCGGGGUUGAGUGCGGGAGGGGUGGGGGGAAUUCCUGGUGUAGCGGUGGAAUGCGCAGAUAUCAGGAGGAAAACCGAUGGGGAAGGCAGGUCACUGGGCCGUUACUGACACUGAGGAGCGAAAGCGUGGGGAGCGAACAGG
This 421-nucleotide ribosomal RNA is filed under the name Fusobacteriota bacterium. RNAcentral describes it as "Fusobacteria bacterium partial 16S ribosomal RNA". It matches the Rfam family "Bacterial small subunit ribosomal RNA", at positions 355 to 776 of the family's 1533-position model. Lineage: Bacteria; Fusobacteriati; Fusobacteriota. The record is from RNAcentral.